CCUACGGGAGGCAGCAGUGGGGAAUAUUGGACAAUGGGGGCAACCCUGAUCCAGCCAUGCCGCGUGUGUGAAGAAGGCCCUCGGGUUGUAAAGCACUUUCAGUGAGGAAGAACGCCUGGUGGUUAAUACCCAUCAGGAAAGACAUCACGCACAGAAGAAGCACCGGCUAACUCCGUGCCAGCAGCCGCGGUAAUACGGAGGGUGCGAGCGUUAAUCGGAAUUACUGGGCGUAAAGCGCGCGUAGGUGGCUUGAUAAGCCGGUUGUGAAAGCCCCGGGCUCAACCUGGGAACGGCAUCCGGAACUGUCAAGCUAGAGUGCAGGAGAGGAAGGUAGAAUUCCCGGUGUAGCGGUGAAAUGCGUAGAGAUCGGGAGGAAUACCAGUGGCGAAGGCGGCCUUCUGGACUGACACUGACACUGAGGUGCGAAAGCGUGGGUAGCAAACAGGAUUAGAUACCCUAGUAGUC
RNAcentral lists this ribosomal RNA (465 nucleotides) under Vreelandella stevensii. RNAcentral describes it as "partial 16S ribosomal RNA". It matches the Rfam family "Bacterial small subunit ribosomal RNA", at positions 338 to 795 of the family's 1533-position model. The record is from RNAcentral. Lineage: Bacteria; Pseudomonadati; Pseudomonadota; Gammaproteobacteria; Oceanospirillales; Halomonadaceae.